This 429-nucleotide ribosomal RNA is filed under the name Bacteroidota bacterium. Its description in RNAcentral is "Bacteroidetes bacterium partial 16S ribosomal RNA". It matches the Rfam family "Bacterial small subunit ribosomal RNA", at positions 355 to 776 of the family's 1533-position model. The record is from RNAcentral. Lineage: Bacteria; Pseudomonadati; Bacteroidota.
UAGGGAAUCUUCGGCAAUGGGGGGAACCCUGACCGAGCAACGCCGCGUGAGUGAAGAAGGUUUUCGGAUCGUAAAGCUCUGUUGUUAAGGAAGAACGAGUGUGAGAAUGGAAAGUUCAUACUGUGACGGUACUUAACCAGAAAGGGACGGCUAACUACGUGCCAGCAGCCGCGGUAAUACGUAGGUCCCGAGCGUUGUCCGGAUUUAUUGGGCGUAAAGCGAGCGCAGGCGGUUAGAAAAGUCUGAAGUGAAAGGCAGUGGCUCAACCAUUGUAGGCUUUGGAAACUGUUUAACUUGAGUGCAGAAGGGGAGAGUGGAAUUCCAUGUGUAGCGGUGAAAUGCGUAGAUAUAUGGAGGAACACCAGUGGCGAAGGCGACUCGCUGGUCUGUAACUGACGCUGAGGCUCGAAAGCGUGGGUAGCAAACAGG